Molecule: ribosomal RNA, 478 nt
Filed under: uncultured bacterium
Lineage: Bacteria
Description: partial 16S ribosomal RNA
Rfam family: Bacterial small subunit ribosomal RNA
Source: RNAcentral
GAUGAACGCUAGCGGCAGGCCUAACACAUGCAAGUCGAGGGAGAAGCCCUUUCGGGGGCAGAAACCGGCGCACGGGUGCGUAACGCGUAUGCAACCUACCUUUCACAGGGGGAUAGCCCGAAGAAAUUUGGAUUAAUACCCCAUAAUAUUAUUGGAUGGCAUCAUUUGAUAAUUAAAACUGCGGUGGUGAAAGAUGGGCAUGCGUCCUAUUAGCUAGUUGGAGUGGUAACGGCACCCCAAGGCUACGAUAGGUAGGGGUCCUGAGAGGGAGAUCCCCCACACUGGUACUGAGACAGGGACCAGACUACUACGGGAGGCAGCAGUGAGGAAUAUUGGGCAAUGGUCGGAAGACUGAACCAGCCAUGCCGCGUGCAGGAAGAAUGCCUUAUGGGUUGUAAACUGCUUUUAUAUGGGAAGAAUAAGGUGUACGUGUACAUUGAUGACGGUACCAUAUGAAUAAGCAUCGGCUAACUCCGUG